Molecule: ribosomal RNA, 459 nt
Filed under: uncultured bacterium
Lineage: Bacteria
Description: partial 16S ribosomal RNA
Rfam family: Bacterial small subunit ribosomal RNA
Source: RNAcentral
CCUACGGGAGGCAGCAGUGAGGAAUAUUGGUCAAUGGACGGAAGUCUGAACCAGCCAUGCAGCGUGCAGGAAGACAGCUCUAUGAGUUGUAAACUGCUUUUGUACAAGGGUAAAGCUGAAUACGUGUAUGCAGCUGAAAGUACUGUACGUAUAAGGAUCGGCUAACUCCGUGCCAGCAGCCGCGGUAAUACGGAGGAUCCAAGCGUUAUCCGGAUUUAUUGGGUUUAAAGGGUGCGUAGGCGGAAUGACAAGUCAGCGGUAAAAUCGCGGGGCUCCACCGUGCUGUGCCGUUGAAACUGGCGUUCUUGAGUGUGCGAGAAGUAUAUGGAAUGCGUGGUGUAGCGGUGAAAUGCAUAGAUAUCACGAAGAACUCCGAUCGCGAAGGCAGUGUACCGGCGCCCAACUGACGCUGAAGCUCGAAAGCGCGGGUAUCGAACAGGAUUAGAUACCCCGGUAGUC